AGGGCGUUUGGUGAAUGCCUUGGCAGUAAGAGGCGAUGAAAGACGUGAUACUCUGCGAUAAGCCAUGGGGAGCUGAGAAUAAGCUUUGAUCCAUGGAUUUCUGAAUGGGGCAACCCACCUGAAUGUUUGUUAUUAUUAUUCUUAGGGAUAUUUAAUAAUGAGCAUAAACAGGUACUUAUAGACUGAAUACAUAGGUUUAUAAGAGCAAACCCGGGGAACUGAAACAUCUAAGUACCCGGAGGAAAGGAAAUCAAUUGAUACUCCCCUAGUAGCGGCGAGCGAACGGGGACCAGCCGAGCCUCAAUUGUGGUUAGAAUGCGUUGGAAUGCGCAACCAAAGUGGGUGAUAGUCCCGUAUAAGAAGCAUGAGAGGACGUAUUAAGUAGGGCGGAACACGUGAAAUUCUGUCUGAAGAUCGGAGGACCACCUUCGAAGGCUAAGUACUCCUUACUGACCGAUAGUGAACCAGUACCGUGAGGGAAAGGUGAAAAGCACCCCGACGAGGGGAGUGAAACAGUACCUGAAACCGAACGCCUACAAUCAGUUGGAGGGUCCUUGCGGCCUGACAGCGUACCUUUUGUAUAAUGGGUCAUCGACUUGGUCUAUCUAGCAAGCUUAAGCCGUUAGGUGUAGGCGCAGCGAAAGCGAGUCUUAAUAGGGCGAAUGAGUUAGGUGGAUCAGACCCGAAACCGAGUGAUCUAGGCAUGGCCAGGUUGAAGGUAAGGUAACACUUACUGGAGGACCGAACCCACAUCCGUUGAAAAGGAUCGGGAUGAGCUGUGCCUAGGGGUGAAAGGCCAAUCAAACUCGGAGAUAGCUGGUUCUCUGCGAAAUCUAUUUAGGUAGAGCGUCAUCCGAAUACCCCGGGGGGUAGAGCACUGGAUGGGUAAUGGGGCCUCACCGGCUUACUGAUCCUAACCAAACUCCGAAUACCCGGGAGUACUAGAUGGCAGACACACGGCGAAUGCUAACGUCCGUCGUGAAGAGGGAAACAACCCUAACCUACAGCUAAGGCCCCUAAUUCAUGGCUAAGUGGGAAAGCAGGUGGGACGACCAAAACAACCAGGAGGUUGGCUUAGAAGCAGCCAUCCUUUAAAGAUAGCGUAACAGCUCACUGGUCUAAAUAAGUUGUCCUGCGGCGAAGAUGUAACGGGGCUCAAGCCAUGAGCCGAAGCUUAGGAUGCACUUAGUGCAUGGUAGCAGAGCGUAGUGUGACAUAAUUCCGAUCCUCUUUUGCAUCCAAUUUGGGUGUAGCGGAGGAAUGGAGUUUUCUGUGAAGCUGGCGCGUGAGCGAUCCGGUGGAGAGAUCACUAGUGAGAAUGAUGACAUGAGUAGCGACAAAGAGUGUGAGAGACACUCUCGCCGAAAGUCCAAGGGUUCCUGCUUAAAGCUAAUCUGAGCAGGGUAAGCCGACCCCUAAGGCGAGGCCGAAAGGCGUAGUCGAUGGGAACCAGGUUAAUAUUCCUGGGCCAGAUGGAAGUGACGGAUCUCGAGGGUAGUUCAUCCUUAUCGGAUUGAAUGGGCUGCUUAGAGGUCCCUGGAAAUAGCUCCAUCGCUAGAUCGUACCCUAAACCGACACAGGUGGAUAGGUAGAGAAUACCAAGGCGCUUGAGAGAACUAUGUUGAAGGAACUCGGCAAAAUACCUCCGUAAGUUCGCGAGAAGGAGGCCCGGUUCUUAGGCAACUAGGAGCUGGGGGCACAAACCAGGGGGUGGCGACUGUUUAUUAAAAACACAGGGCUCUGCGAAGUCGCAAGACGACGUAUAGGGUCUGACGCCUGCCCGGUGCCUGAAGGUUAAAAGGAGGGGUGAGAGCUCUGAAUUGAAGCCCAGGUAAACGGCGGCCGUAACUAUAACGGUCCUAAGGUAGCGAAAUUCCUUGUCGGGUAAGUUCCGACCUGCACGAAUGGCGUAACGACUUCCCAGCUGUCUCAACCGCGAACUCGGCGAAAUUGCACUACGAGUAAAGAUGCUCGUUACGCGCAGCAGGACGGAAAGACCCCGUGACCUUUACUACAGCUUUGUAUUGGUGUUCGGUGUGGCUUGUGUAGGAUAGGUGGGAGACUUUGAAGCGGACACGCCAGUGUUUGUGGAGUCAUUGUUGAAAUACCACUCUGGUCACUCUGGAUAUCUAACUUCGAACCGUAAUCCGGUUCAGGGACAGUGCAUGGUGGGUAGUUUAACUGGGGCGGUUGCCUCCCAAAAAGUAACGGAGGCGCCCAAAGGUUCCCUCAGCCUGGUUGGCAAUCAGGUGGCGAGUGUAAGUGCACAAGGGAGCUUGACUGUGAGACUGACAGGUCGAGCAGGGACGAAAGUCGGGACUAGUGAUCCGGCAGUGGCUUGUGGAAGCGCUGUCGCUCAACGGAUAAAAGGUACCUCGGGGAUAACAGGCUGAUCUUGCCCAAGAGUCCAUAUCGACGGCAUGGUUUGGCACCUCGAUGUCGGCUCGUCGCAUCCUGGGGCUGGAGUAGGUCCCAAGGGUUGGGCUGUUCGCCCAUUAAAGCGGUACGCGAGCUGGGUUUAGAACGUCGUGAGACAGUUCGGUCCCUAUCCGCUGCGCGCGUUGGAAAUUUGAGAGGAUCUGACCCUAGUACGAGAGGACCGGGUUGGACGAACCUCUGGUGUGUCAGUUGUCCUGCCAAGGGCACCGCUGAUUAGCUACGUUCGGGAUGGAUAACCGCUGAAAGCAUCUAAGCGGGAAGCCGGCCUCAAGAUGAGAUUUCCAUGCCCUUCGGGGCGAGAGGCUCCCAGUAGACGACUGGGUUGAUAGGCCGGAUGUGGAAGUGGGGACUAAAGACCCAUGAAGCUGACCGGUACUAAUAAGCCGAUAAUUUGACAC
This 2837-nucleotide ribosomal RNA is filed under the name seawater metagenome. RNAcentral's name for it is "bacterial LSU rRNA". It matches the Rfam family "Bacterial large subunit ribosomal RNA". The record is from RNAcentral.